Molecule: long non-coding RNA, 403 nt
Organism: Polypterus senegalus (gray bichir)
Lineage: Eukaryota; Metazoa; Chordata; Cladistia; Polypteriformes; Polypteridae
Exons: 4
Source: RefSeq, a predicted model, not a curated record
ACAAACAAAGAAUAUCUAAACGUGCAGUCAGCUGGAGGCAUUAAAGAAGACAGCAUGUUUGAGUAGUUCGGCUUUCUCAUAACACCCGGAGGCAGAACAAAUGUGACUGUUCUCAACUCCAGUUCUAGGAAAAUCUUCUAGGAUAUUUUUUUAGACACACUUUGUCCCAUUUGGAUUAGCUGUGAUCUCUGACUCGCUUCAGAUUUUCAAUUUAUAAAAAGGAUACAUUUUCACAUACAAGGAGAAGAUUUCUUAUGUUCUGUGAACACAUCCUGCAACUGCGCCUCUGAGGUUUGCAAUCAUAAUAUUCAUCAUUGCAGGAGAUGGCCUGAUAUCCUAUCCAGAUACCAUGAUGUGAGUUACAGAGCAUGCAAUGCAACUACCAGCAAAGUAACAUUGUACA